UUAGCCGUAAACGAUGGAUACUAGGCGUUGUGAGUAUCGACCCUCACAGUGUCGUAGCUAACGCGUUAAGUAUCCCGCCUGGGGAGUACGCGCGCAAGCGUGAAACUCAAAGGAAUUGACGGGGGCCCGCACAAGCGGUGGAGUAUGUGGUUUAAUUCGAUGCAACGCGAAGAACCUUACCAGGACUUGACAUGUCGCGAAUCUCAGGGAAACUUGAGAGUGCCUUCGGGAGCGCGAACACAGGUGGUGC
Molecule: ribosomal RNA, 250 nt
Filed under: uncultured Chroococcidiopsis sp.
Lineage: Bacteria; Bacillati; Cyanobacteriota; Cyanophyceae; Chroococcidiopsidales; Chroococcidiopsidaceae
Description: partial 16S ribosomal RNA
Rfam family: Bacterial small subunit ribosomal RNA
Source: RNAcentral